UACGGAGGGUGCGAGCGUUGUUCGGAAUCACUGGGCGUAAAGGGCGUGUAGGCGGUCCGCUAAGUCUGAUGUGAAAGCCCGGGGCUCACCCCCGGAAGGGCAUUGGAAACUGACGGACUCGAGUCCCGAAGAGGAGGGUGGAAUUCCUGGUGUAGCGGUGAAAUGCGUAGAUAUCAGGAGGAACACCUGUGGCGAAGGCGGCCGACUGGGCCGACCCUGACGCUGAGGCGCGAAGGCGUGGGGAGCGAACGGG
Molecule: ribosomal RNA, 253 nt
Filed under: uncultured bacterium
Lineage: Bacteria
Description: partial 16S ribosomal RNA
Rfam family: Bacterial small subunit ribosomal RNA
Source: RNAcentral